This 243-nucleotide long non-coding RNA is filed under the name Elaeis guineensis (African oil palm). RNAcentral's name for it is "long non-coding RNA (EGUI_LNC038234)". Lineage: Eukaryota; Viridiplantae; Streptophyta; Magnoliopsida; Arecales; Arecaceae. The record is from RNAcentral.
GAUCAAAUUUUUUUUGUAAUCAGGUUUGAUCAUAUCAAUCCCAAUCUGAGUCAAACUGAAUCUAAUUCAAUUAGACUUGUUCUAAAACUUUUUACUCAAUCAAAUUGAAUCAAUUAGUAUUCUAAUUACUAAUUAUUUUUUUAUAAAUGAUAGAGUCCCAGUCUCAGUGGGACCUCCCAUAGAGUCCUAGUCCCAGUAAGACUCUUCACUAGAGUCACAAUCUAAUUGGACUCUUCAGCCAGC